Molecule: ribosomal RNA, 615 nt
Filed under: Albidovulum denitrificans
Lineage: Bacteria; Pseudomonadati; Pseudomonadota; Alphaproteobacteria; Rhodobacterales; Paracoccaceae
Description: bacterial SSU rRNA
Rfam family: Bacterial small subunit ribosomal RNA
Source: RNAcentral
UCGAGCGAACCCUUCGGGGUUAGCGGCGGACGGGUUAGUAACGCGUGGGAACGUGCCCAAAGGUACGGAAUAGCCUCGGGAAACUGAGAGUAAUACCGUAUGUGCCCUUCGGGGGAAAGAUUUAUCGCCUUUGGAUCGGCCCGCGUUGGAUUAGGUAGUUGGUGGGGUAAUGGCCUACCAAGCCGACGAUCCAUAGCUGGUUUGAGAGGAUGAUCAGCAACACUGGGACUGAGACACGGCCCAGACUCCUACGGGAGGCAGCAGUGGGGAAUCUUAGACAAUGGGGGAAACCCUGAUCUAGCCAUGCCGCGUGAGCGAUGAAGGCCUUAGGGUUGUAAAGCUCUUUCAGCUGGGAAGAUAAUGACGGUACCAGCAGAAGAAGCCCCGGCUAACUCCGUGCCAGCAGCCGCGGUAAUACGGAGGGGGCUAGCGUUGUUCGGAAUUACUGGGCGUAAAGCGCGCGUAGGCGGAUUGUUAAGUCGGGGGUGAAAUCCCGGGGCUCAACCCCGGAACUGCCUUCGAUACUGGCAAUCUAGAGUUCGAGAGAGGUGAGUGGAAUUCCGAGUGUAGAGGUGAAAUUCGUAGAUAUUCGGAGGAACACCAGUGGCGAAGGCG